AGCAUGUGGUUAAUUCGAUGCUACACGAAGAACCUUACCAGGGUUUGACAUGGCAGAAGUAGGAAGCCGAAAGUGGACGACCUGUAUCCAGUCAGGAGCUGUCACAGGUGCUGCAUGGCUGUCGUCAGCUCGUGCCGUGAGGUGUUGGGUUAAGUCCCGCAACGAGCGCAACCCUUGUCCUAUGUUAAAUUCUCAUGGGAUACUGCCUUGUAUAGCAAGGAGGAAGGAAAGGAUGACGUCAAGUCAGCAUGGCCUUUAUGUCCUGGGCUACACACACGCUACAAUGGGUGAUACAGAGGGUUGCCAAGGAGCGAUCCGGAGCUAAUCCUUCAAAAUCAUCCUCAGUUCGGAUUGCAGGCUGAAAUCGCCUGCAUGAAGUCGGAGUUGCUAGUAACCGCAGGUCAGCUAUACUGCGGUGAAUACGUUCUCGGGCCUU
Molecule: ribosomal RNA, 436 nt
Filed under: uncultured Chloroflexota bacterium
Lineage: Bacteria; Bacillati; Chloroflexota
Description: bacterial SSU rRNA
Rfam family: Bacterial small subunit ribosomal RNA
Source: RNAcentral